This 658-nucleotide long non-coding RNA is filed under the name Octopus sinensis (East Asian common octopus). RNAcentral describes it as "uncharacterized LOC115211681". The record is from RNAcentral. Lineage: Eukaryota; Metazoa; Mollusca; Cephalopoda; Octopoda; Octopodidae.
AGAUGUGUAUAAAUAUCAGCUAUGUUGGAACCUUCAUUAAAAGCUCCCACACAAUCUAGUAGAAAAGGGGAAAAUUGCUGCAACAUUGUAACAGGCAUAGAAAGAAAAAAGUAACAAAUUUCUGCAGUUUGAUCUUAGCAUCACUUCGCCUCCAAUCAUUUUUAUCAAAAUACAACAUGAAGCAGUAUUUCAGCAGCCAGUUAAUAAUUUUCACCUUUUGUUGUAUUGGAGUGAUAUUGUCUGGAGGAAUUUGGGAAGGGAAUCAUGAAAAUUCUGACAAGAACUUACUAUCAUUGAUCACCAGAGCUGCAGUAGCAACACGAGACAAUGCACUUAUGGCACCACCAAGUGGAUAUCAAGGUCGAAUGCCAUCAUAUUAUAUACGAACCCAAAGAGAACUCAAAAGAGAACCAAACUGGAUAUGGAUGCCAUCCCAUGGCUAUGUUCCUGUCCCAGAGCCUUCCAAUGUUAGAAGUUCUGAAAGUCGUGGUAGCACUAUUCUGAGAUAUGGUUAAAUAUGAAAUCAUCUUGGAAUAACAUGAACAUUUAAGUAACUGCUAACAUUGGAUAACUCUGUAUUUCUCUUGUUUCUUACAAUGACACAUACAUUUUGGAUUUCACAUUCUCACAUAAAAAUAAAUUUACAAUACCUCUAUAA